AAUCCCGCCACUUUCGUUCCCUAGAUUCCAUUCGCAAGAUUCUACAAACGAUGGACUAUUUGAGGUCUGAAGAUGAAUUUGUGAUCCAAACAAGGUGCCCAAUGGUGAUGAGACAUUUCAGGGAUGAUCUAAGACUGGUUUAGCACCAUUAGAGAGAAUAAUGAGAGAAGAAUUUGGUGAAUAAGAGCUAGCAAUGACCUCGUCAGAAUAUUUAGUACUAAAACAUAUCUUGAAAGGGAAGUUAGUCUCAUCAAAUUAAAGAAAAUAUGUGUGCUGGGUAUUGUUUUUCUAGCUGUAGUUAAACACUUGUAUCCCUUGUGUUGAGGGCCAUAGGCCAUAGCCAAGAAAUACACAAGAUUCACUCCUAUCAUCUAUCUUAUAUGAAUUAUAUGGUCUAGUAUAAGGGAAGCAAAGGCAACCGAAAGUCUUAUUUAAUUACUUUACUUUGAAUAUUUUGUAUUAUUAGUGGAUUGCAAUUUAAACGAAUAUAAGUCUAAGUUUAGUUAUUUAU
This is a non-coding RNA of Arachis ipaensis, 511 nucleotides long. The record is from RefSeq and is a predicted model, not a curated record. Lineage: Eukaryota; Viridiplantae; Streptophyta; Magnoliopsida; Fabales; Fabaceae.